UGAGGAAUAUUGGUCAAUGGGCGAGAGCCUGAACCAGCCAAGUCGCGUGAGGGAUGACGGUCCUACGGAUUGUAAACCUCUUUUGUCGGGGAACAACAGGGGGCACGCGUGCCUUUGUGAGUGUACCCGAAGAAAAAGCAUCGGCUAACUCCGUGCCAGCAGCCGCGGUAAUACGGAGGAUGCGAGCGUUAUCCGGAUUUAUUGGGUUUAAAGGGUGCGUAGGUGGUUUGUUAAGUUUGUGGUGAAAGCGUGCGGCUCAACCGUACCAAGCCAUGAAAACUGGCGAACUUGAGUGCAAACGAGGUAGGCGGAAUGUGAUGUGUAGCGGUGAAAUGCUUAGAUAUGUCACAGAACCCCGAUUGCGAAGGCAGCUUACCAGCAUGCAACUGACACUGAGGCACGAAAGCGUGGGUAUCAAACAGGAUUAGAUACCCUGGUAGU
This 441-nucleotide ribosomal RNA is filed under the name uncultured Porphyromonadaceae bacterium. RNAcentral describes it as "bacterial SSU rRNA". It matches the Rfam family "Bacterial small subunit ribosomal RNA", at positions 355 to 794 of the family's 1533-position model. Lineage: Bacteria; Pseudomonadati; Bacteroidota; Bacteroidia; Bacteroidales; Porphyromonadaceae. The record is from RNAcentral.